Molecule: ribosomal RNA, 253 nt
Filed under: uncultured bacterium
Lineage: Bacteria
Description: partial 16S ribosomal RNA
Rfam family: Bacterial small subunit ribosomal RNA
Source: RNAcentral
UACGUAGGGUGCGAGCGUUAAUCGGAAUUACUGGGCGUAAAGCGUGCGCAGGCGGUUUGUUAAGUCUGAUGUGAAAGCCCCGGGCUCAACCUGGGAAUGGCAUUGGAAACUGGCUGGCUAGAGUGUGGCAGAGGGGGGUGGAAUUCCGCGUGUAGCAGUGAAAUGCGUAGAGAUGCGGAGGAACACCGAUGGCGAAGGCAGCCCCCUGGGCUAGCACUGACGCUCAGGCACGAAAGCGUGGGGAGCAAACAGG